UACGAAGGGGGCAAGCGUUAUUCGGAAUUACUGGGCGUAAAGAGCGUGAAGGUGGCAGUCUAAGUCAGUUGUUAAAUGUUACGGCCUAACCGUAAACCUGCGAUUGAUACUGGUGGUGCUAGAAUAUGUGAGAGGGAAGUAGAAUUCCAGGUGUAGCGGUGAAAUGCGUAGAGAUCUGGAGGAAUACCGAUGGCGAAGGCAGCUUCCUGGCAUAAUAUUGACACUGAGAUUCGAAAGCGUGGGUAGCAAACAGG
RNAcentral lists this ribosomal RNA (254 nucleotides) under uncultured bacterium. RNAcentral's name for it is "partial 16S ribosomal RNA". It matches the Rfam family "Bacterial small subunit ribosomal RNA", at positions 524 to 776 of the family's 1533-position model. The record is from RNAcentral.